Molecule: ribosomal RNA, 396 nt
Filed under: uncultured Desulfovibrio sp.
Lineage: Bacteria; Pseudomonadati; Thermodesulfobacteriota; Desulfovibrionia; Desulfovibrionales; Desulfovibrionaceae
Description: bacterial SSU rRNA
Source: RNAcentral
GGCUCAACCCGGGAAGUGCAUUUGAAACUGUCAGGCUUGAGUAGGGGAGAGGGAAGUGGAAUUCCAGGUGUAGAGGUGAAAUCSGUAGAUUUCUGGAGGAACACCAGUGGCGAAGGCGGCCACCUGGCCGGCAACUGACGCUGAGGUGCGAAAGCGUGGGGAUCAAACAGGAUUAGAUACCCUGGUAGUCCACGCUGUAAACGAUGGAUGCUAGGUGUCGGGAGUUUACUCUCGGUGCCGCAGUUAACGCGUUAAGCAUCCCGCCUGGGGAGUACGGUSGCAAGGMUGAAACUCAAAGGAAUAGACGGGGGCCCGCACAAGCGGUGGAGUAUCUGGUUUAAUUCGAUGCAACGCGAAGAACCUUACCUGGGUUUGACAUCCCGCGAAUCUCCAGGA